This 2259-nucleotide unclassified non-coding RNA is filed under the name Hevea brasiliensis (rubber tree). Lineage: Eukaryota; Viridiplantae; Streptophyta; Magnoliopsida; Malpighiales; Euphorbiaceae. The record is from RNAcentral.
GUUUGAUAAUAUAGAGUAUGAAUUAGUUCAACGUAUGGGCAUUUACAAUAAUUUGUCACUUUACAAUGUCAUUGAGGAAAAAAAAUCUCACAUGACUUUUCAGGUUCAUCCCAUACAUAAUAACACAUCAAUUUGAGGUAUGCAAGAUAACUAGUGGAGUCCUUGUGGUGCAAUUAAGCAAAAUUUCAUUCACAAAUUAAUGCAGGAGGUUUCAUCAGAUUAUUUUCAAUAACUCUUGAAUUCAGUUCAUCAUACCAGACACUAAUUACAAUCCAACAUCAACUUUUUGAUGAAAUUAUUGUGUAGUCACCAAACACAUAAAAGUCCAGCAAAUAGUGGACAUUAUGCAAAGGACAAAAAUAUAAAAGCCCAGAAAGUAAAUGUCCACCCAAGAAAUAGAAAGAGAAGGAAAAAUAGCAGUUUUCAAAAGUUUAACUUCAAGAAGUACCACUUUUUACAUCUAUUUGUAAUUAUCAAACUUCAUAUACCCUUUCCAUUUCUUUUCUUGUCUGCAGAUCACUAGAUGUCUAAAAUGUGACCACCUGCAUUUUAGUGACUUUUCCUACAGCAGACCAGACAGUCACUUGAUGUUAUUGACAACCAUAAGCUCUCAAAUGCAAAUGGUUACUGAAGUUCCAUACAUGUUGCUCAUCAGUGGCAAGAGAAUGCAACUAGCAAAAUACAAAAUUUCUCAUAGCAGCUUCCAUCCUGAUUGACUGAAGAAAGUUUUUUGCAUGAUAAUCAAUUUACAAGAUCAUGUCAUUGAUCAGCCACUGAUUCAGAAGAAAUAGUGAUUGUUUCUAAAAUUGACUGAGAUUCAGCAUCGGAGGCUUCCAAUCUGUAAGAUCUACAGCUGAAGUAGAAAACUGCACUCAUCAUCAUAUCAAUAAGCACCACAAAUGAAAACAUAAUCACUAAAAGAGGACCUUCCCAAAUUCUUGAAGUUCCGUCUCCAUAACUCAGCGUCUUCACUCUAUGUUCAAACAACCCUUCCACAAAAGCCAUCCCAAUUGUUGAUCCUAGAUAUAUGAGAAGACCAACCUGUGUCUGACCCCUAAUCAAAAUACUGGACCGAAGCAAAGCCUGUGGCCCUGAAACAUCCUCCAACACAGAGAUCACAAUGGCAAUGUUGUAAAUGAUGAUUGCAUUGGCAAAAACAACUGAGAACACUAGCCCCACCAUUAUUGCAGCAUACAAAUUUAAUUCGGGUGAAAAACCAAUUACUGAAAAUGAACUACAAAUCGCUAAGAGAAGAACACAGAACAGUGUAACGCAACCAACAAUCAUCAUACAUGCCCACAAGUACGUUGAAACAAUCCUUCUCCAAAUUUUACUAAUCACCACACAGAACUUUAAAGCAUCAACCCUUUUUCUCGAAUAAGUGCAAUCUACAGAGUAAACUACCGCAACUUUGGAUAACAAAGACAAUGUGAUAAACAAAGGGAAGCAUACUGUGGAAGAAACAGCCAUCUCGGAGAAAUGGUGACACGAGUGUUUGACAAAAGGCCUCAAUGGGAGUCCUCCAGAUUUUGCAACUAACAAAAGCCUAAUAGUUAGUCUCUUAACUAUAGACUGAUCAACAAAUACAUUUGAUAAAACAAUGGCAGAUACUGGACAAAUAAGCAAGGCAGCAAUUAUCAUAAACGAAGAGGAAUUGUACCGGAGGAUCCUCACGGUUUCCCUCAAGAUCUCUAAUGCAUUCAUUGAAUGGAAUUGAUGAUUAUACCCAUGAUCAUGUCCAGCUAAUUCCAACUCAAAUUUCUGCAACUGGGUAUCUUCAGAUCCCUCCUUUUGUAACUGAUCCAAACUCAUUCUAGGAGAAGUACCACCAGAAACCUCCAUCUUAUCAACGAGAACAACGAAAAUAUAAUAGAAAUAUGCAAAGGUUCACCUCAUCAGAUAUGAAUUAACAAGAGCAAGCUAUUACAACUGAAAACCCAAAAACGCAGAUUGCUUUAAAGGGCAAUCAAGCACAGAACAUAGAAUAAUAGAAUCAGAUCUGGGAAUGAUUAAACAAAGAAAAAAAAAAACAAUUGAGGGAAUUAGAAGGCAGAAGAUUUGCGCAUAAAAGGUGUCCUGUUGAGGUUUCUGAAGAGGAGCAGUCGGUGGAUUCUUGACGUAAAUAGAAGAAUGGUGGGUGAUUUUGAUUGAGAUUUGGCCAUUUUAGAGUGUCCGUGUUAAAGAAGUCGCCAUUGAAUAAAAUUAUUAAAAUGUUUUCGAGUUACCGAUACAAUUUCAUGGAUGCUAUUGCCUUCGAGC